This 1688-nucleotide long non-coding RNA is filed under the name Chrysemys picta bellii (western painted turtle). Its description in RNAcentral is "lncRNA (ENSCPBG00000020848.1)". The record is from RNAcentral. Lineage: Eukaryota; Metazoa; Chordata; Testudines; Emydidae.
AUGCUGGGUCCAGGUUUUUGUAGUGCUUCUGUUCUGGAUGUUUAUUUUUUUUUUUUUUUUUUUUUUGCAGUAGGCGUGUUUAGAUUGUUCUCUAUUUUGAUGAUACAAUUUGGAGAUUUGGGGGCUAAAGAUAUGCAGGACCCAAUUUUCCCCUGGGGGAAUACUUUGGAGUGCCAGUGCCUGCACACACAGGCAUCCACCCACGGCUUCUGGCCUCCUUCCAUGCACACCUAUACACAACACUGUCACAUCCUUAACACUCUCUUGAGAAAUGCACAACUCUCUCCAACAGACUGCAAAAGCAGAAGGCAACAAUGGAUCUGAAGGAGACUUUGAUGUCAUAAACCCAAGAUUAUGACUUCACGAUCAAGCAGCGAGAGAACCCAGGAUGAGAGAAGGAAAAUAGAACACAUUCAUCUUUGGAAACCAGCAAGGGGAAUCCAGAAAAUUAGACAAAAAAAACGGAAUGUUUUUAAUUUCCCUCAAAAUGUCUUUGCUUCCAAGCUACUAUGCUGAUUGACAUCUGGUCUUUCUAGCUAUUCAAGUAGAAGCCAAUUGGGAUCAGAUUUAUCACUGGUGACAUCAAUAGAGUUUCACCAGAAUGACCUGGGAUCUUUAUGCCUCUAGGGGGAAGAUACCUAGUGAUCUCAAAUGCAAGAGUCACAGUACUUUAUAUGCUUCUUCAUCCUCACCUACAUUAUGAAAGCUUGCUGUGUGCUUAUAUUAAUUAGCUGUUUUACCAAUGUAACAAUCUUUUAAAAAUACAUUUACAUUAUCAGCGUGCCAUGGGGCCUAAUUUGCCACCCAUACGCUCGUUGAAUAAUACCUUAUUCUGUGAAUAGUUUGAAUGGGCUACUACACAGGAAUAGAAGUGGCAAAAUUUGGCCCAAAGUUAACUUCAGGAACAAUCUGAUUGUAAUUAACAACAAAUGUUUGGUGUUAAUUUUGUUCAUUUUGUGGUUGAUUUUUGAUAUUAGUGUUAUUUAUUCUUGUACUGCAGGAACACCUAGGAACUUCAGUCGUGGGCCAGGCCCCCAUCAUGCUGGGCAUUAUACAAACAGAACACAGAGAUGGUGUCUGCCUCAAAUAGUUUACGAUGAUAUGCUGAGAAUUUGACCUUUUUUCCCCCUUUGGCUGGAUCUUAAAUGGAGAAAAUGCGACUUUGUUUUUAUAUUAAACAAAAAAAAGUACAACUAGAUUGACAACUUGCAUGUCAGGGUUUUACCUGAUGCAGUCUGAGACAGCUGAUAUGUUACCACCCCUCUUGCAAUGAGAUUUAUAAUGGAAAUGCUGACAAGACACCUAUGUUUGGAGACGGCACCAUGCACUGCUUUAAAAACUUGUUAUGAAUGUUAAUUGGUUAUCUGAAGAGUUUUCUUUUUCCAGGUGUAGGCAGCCCAGGACACAGCCUCGGUAAUACAAUGUAACGAAUCCAUGAAAACACAGGAUGCUUAUGUGAGUAUUAGAAUGGCUGGCAUUUCUGCAAACAGUGUUGCAGUUUUAUUUUCAGAGAUUAAUCAAUAAUAAGCUCUUUGAUAUUGCUAUGUACUUGGAGAAUAGCAUUUCCUUAGGAUGACAGCUAAGCAACUUUCCCACGGUUUUAUGUCUAGGUUUGCGUUUUAAUCAGUCUGCUUGGGGGAUUGUCAUGAACUUCAGUGCUACACAAAAUAAAUAGAAGGCAAGCCACA